UACUUAGUAAAAUAAUUUAUUCAUUCCGUAAUACACCAGUGUUUAACAAAUAAAUAUUCUGAUACGGAACCGUCACUCCACAUGCAAGAGUCCCCCUUAGCAGGCUCUAUGUGAAUCAUUGUGAACUUAUUUUGAUAUCUUCGAAAAAACUUGUAUAAAUAAGAAUAAAAACUAGUAUAAAUAAGGUAACAGGUGGUCUUUUGUGAUAGAAUUCGAGGUGUCAUCACAAUGUUUAAGUCGUCUUUCUUGAUUUUGAGUUGCGUUGUGGUGGCUGUUGUGACGCAGUCACGGGAAUGUGGGCUCAAUGAACAUUUCACGCAGUGCGGUAGUGCUUGUCCAACUACAUGUUCAAAUCUGGGGCAGAAUUGCCCUAUAGCGCAAUGCGUUGUCGGCUGCUUUUGUGACGAAGGUUAUGCAAGAAAUGAUGUUGGAAAAUGCAUACCUGUUGGUGACUGCCAGUCCCAGUAGGUAUUAAAAGCCUGGUUCAGGGUAGGCGGUGCUUCCACGAUGCCAAAUGCGGUAGCAUAAGUCAUGAUUUGUUUGUCUUCAGAUGUUUACUUUUUGCAUUUAUGUAAGUUUAUCAUUUGCAUUUAUGUUACUAAGUCUAAUUUAGAAGGUUUGUUGAUGAAAAAAUCUUCAUAAUCCAUAAUUCGAAGACCUAAAAAAUUUACAAUAAAUUAUUGGAAGUACCUA
Molecule: long non-coding RNA, 693 nt
Organism: Helicoverpa zea (corn earworm)
Lineage: Eukaryota; Metazoa; Arthropoda; Insecta; Lepidoptera; Noctuidae
Exons: 2
Source: RefSeq, a predicted model, not a curated record